Vitis vinifera (wine grape) is the source of this 586-nucleotide long non-coding RNA. RefSeq lists it as uncharacterized. The transcript is spliced from 3 exons. The record is from RefSeq and is a predicted model, not a curated record. NCBI's taxonomy places the organism in Eukaryota, Viridiplantae, Streptophyta, Magnoliopsida, Vitales, Vitaceae.
ACGCCCAGGCAUUUUCUUUUAAGGGUAAUUUAGGAAAUUGUUAUUAAUAAUUUAAUUAAUUGAUUAAUUAAUUUAAUAAAGUGGAAGAGGGGUAAAAGUGUAAUUUUACGAAUAAAUACCCUAGGUAUAAAUUAGAAAUUUUAUUCUUUCCCUUCUUUUCUGAAUAGAGUUCCUGUUCGCAGAAUUCCAGAGAACGUAAGGUUGGAGUCAGAUUUCAGGGUUGAAGAACAGAUCUCUAUAGGUGAAGAGUAGAUUAUAUUUUUUUCAGAAUUAUUCUUCUCCCAAGCUUUCAAGGACUUCUUUUGAGGUACUCUUAGUUCGGGUGAGGAGUGAUGGCUAGGCUGAGGAAUGGUCAUCAUUAGGAUUUGACUUAGGAUUUUAUGUUGGAUUUUGUUUAACUAUUAGUUAUGUUAUUUUGGAUCAUUUGGUAUUUCGAAGUUAUUUGGAAAUUGAAUUUUGAGGAGUUUAGAUUUUGUUUCCGCUACUCUGAGCAGGUAUUUGGUAAUUGGUAACAUCCAGUUACAAUAUGAUUGUUUGGGUCAGAUUAUACUUUAAGCCUUCGGGUUUGAGGUGUGAAAUGACCGUC